GACAGAGGUCCCAAGCGUUUAGGCGGAAUCACUGGGCUUAAAGCGUGUGUAGGCGGACUUCUAAGUACCUUGUGAAAUCCCACGGCUCAACCGUGGAACUGCUUGGUAUACUGGUUGUCUUGGGCCAUCUAGGGGGCUAGCGGAACAAACGGUGGAGCGGUGAAAUGCGUAGAUAUCGUUUGGAACGCCAAUGGUGAAAACAGCUAGCUGGGGAUGUGCCGACGCUGAGACACGAAAGACCCAGGGGGAGCGAACGGGG
RNAcentral lists this ribosomal RNA (259 nucleotides) under uncultured bacterium. RNAcentral describes it as "partial 16S ribosomal RNA". It matches the Rfam family "Bacterial small subunit ribosomal RNA", at positions 524 to 777 of the family's 1533-position model. The record is from RNAcentral.